Molecule: ribosomal RNA, 458 nt
Filed under: uncultured bacterium
Lineage: Bacteria
Description: partial 16S ribosomal RNA
Rfam family: Bacterial small subunit ribosomal RNA
Source: RNAcentral
CCUACGGGUGACAGCAGUAGGGAAUAUUGCUCAAUGGGGGAAACCCUGAAGCAGCAACGCCGCGUGAGUGAAGAAGUACUUCGUUACGUAAAGCUCUAUCAGCAGGGAAGAAACACUGACCUUACGGUCAGCAGACGGUACCUGUGUAAGAAGCCCCGGCUAACUACGUGCCAGCAGCCGCGGUAAAAGGUAGGGGGCAAGCGGUAUCCGGAUUUACUGGGUGUAAAGGGAGCGUAGACGGUGCGCCAAGUCGGGAGUGAAAUGCCGGAGGUUAACGGCGGAACUGCGUUGGCAACUGGCGAACUAGAGUGCGGGAGGGGUAAGCGGAAUUCCUAGUGUAGCGGUGAAAUGCGUAGAUAUUAGGAGGAACCCCGGUGGCGAAGGCGGCUUACUGGACCGUAACUGACGUUGAGGCUCGAAAGCGUGGGGAGCAAACAGGAUUAGAUACCCCUGUAGUC